UACGGGGGGGGCAAGCGUUGUUCGGAAUUACUGGGCGUAAAGGGCGCGUAGGCGGUUGGACAAGUCUCUCGUGAAAGCCCACGGCUCAACCGUGGAAUUGCGGGAGAUACUGUCUGUCUUGAGUCCGGGAGAGGAGGGUGGAAUUCCCAGUGUAGCGGUGAAAAGCGUAGAUAUUGGGAGGAACACCGGUGGCGAAGGCGGCUCUCUGGACCGGUACUGACGCUGAGGAGCGAAAGCUAGGGGAGCAAACGGG
RNAcentral lists this ribosomal RNA (253 nucleotides) under uncultured bacterium. Its description in RNAcentral is "partial 16S ribosomal RNA". It matches the Rfam family "Bacterial small subunit ribosomal RNA", at positions 524 to 776 of the family's 1533-position model. The record is from RNAcentral.